This 64-nucleotide transfer RNA is filed under the name Cavia porcellus (domestic guinea pig). It matches the Rfam family "tRNA". Rfam says of the family: Transfer RNA (tRNA) molecules are approximately 80 nucleotides in length. The record is from Rfam by way of RNAcentral. Lineage: Eukaryota; Metazoa; Chordata; Mammalia; Rodentia; Caviidae.
GGGGAUUUAGCUCAGUGGUGUAAGCGCUUGCCUGGCAAGCAGGAGGUCAUGAGUUAAAUCCCCA